Molecule: unclassified non-coding RNA, 519 nt
Filed under: Melitaea cinxia (Glanville fritillary)
Lineage: Eukaryota; Metazoa; Arthropoda; Insecta; Lepidoptera; Nymphalidae
Description: misc RNA ENSMCXG00005010255.1
Source: RNAcentral
UAUUUUUAACCGACUUCCAAAAAAGGAGGAGGUUCUCAAUUCGACUGUUUUUUUUUUUUUUUUUUUUUUUUUUUUUUUUUUUUUUUUUUAUUAUAAAUCAGAUUGCUUUAAUUUUAGUUUUAUACAAAUCGAAUACUACUUAGUCAAUUUAACGAAUAAAUGUAUUACCCGUCGAGUAUUUAAUAUCUUUACAAAUUUACCUUUGUAAUUUUAUUAUGACGACUAUUAUAAAAAACCUCCAUAGGGGCUUUCAUUUAAAAACUUACAUUACAUUCGGUAGUAUUUUUAUAUUACCUGCAGUCAUAUAUUUUUAAUUACUUUUAAUUAAUUAUUUUCAACUAUGGAUAAGCCACAGGAACACAAUGUGGAGUAUUAUGUGAAGGCAUAGAAAAAUAAAUUAUAAAAUGUAUAAUCGUGAUUGUGAUUUUAAUCUGUUUGUGUGAUCAUCCAUUUUAAUAAUCACGUACGCAAAAUCAAAUACUGAUCAGUAAACACUUAAUUUAAAAUUCAAAAUAACGU